UUAGUUCCCAAAUAAAGCCUUAGACUGCUAAAAUUUUUUAGCCUCUGACUCCUAUCUUUACCCUGCCUUACGCCUGACCCUAACAUUUGGUACCAAAACCCGGGGGCAGGUAGUAGCUCGCCUCCCUUGGCUGAGCUCCCUCCUUGCCAAGCCAGAGGCCAACCACCCUACUCUCAAGGGCCUACAGGAGCCAGGGACGACAGACUCGCAAGGCCCCCACGUGGCGAGGCUUCACCCCGAUUGGACUCUGCCUUCCAACUGCUGGAGAUGGAGGAUGACGAGUGACGAGGCCCAGACUCAGUAACUCCAGUGACCCACGUUGAGCCCAGGGUAAAACUCCAGGAAGCAGCCAGAUCAGAUCCGUCGCCCAUUAUCACCAAUAAGAGGUUGGAAUGUUAGGAUGUCCUUGGAACCACAGUAGAGGGGACGGCCAUCUUGCCAGGCCAACCCAAUGAAAAGCCCUGAGCAGCGCGCUAGAAUGAAUUGGAGGUCAACCAAUCACCGAGCGACAGCACGACCUGACGCGAAAAAGGCCCACCUGGACCUAAACCCGGAACCGCUGCAGCUUAAAAACCCCACCCCACCACACCUGGGGGCGACUUCCCUGACUUCUCUCUCUCUCUCUCUCUCUCUCUCUCUCUCUCUGAGUCACGGAACCUCGCCCAAGGCCUUAGUUCCCAAAUAAAGCCUUUGACUGCUAAA
Long non-coding RNA from Leopardus geoffroyi (Geoffroy's cat), 702 nucleotides. RefSeq lists it as uncharacterized. The record is from RefSeq and is a predicted model, not a curated record. NCBI's taxonomy places the organism in Eukaryota, Metazoa, Chordata, Mammalia, Carnivora, Felidae. The transcript has 3 exons.